Molecule: unclassified non-coding RNA, 311 nt
Filed under: uncultured fungus
Lineage: Eukaryota; Fungi
Description: partial contains small subunit ribosomal RNA, internal transcribed spacer 1, and 5.8S ribosomal RNA
Rfam family: Eukaryotic small subunit ribosomal RNA (bases 1-73)
Source: RNAcentral
GCAAACUUGGUCAUUUAGAGGAAGUAAAAGUCGUAACAAGGUUUCCGUAGGUGAACCUGCGGAAGGAUCAUUAUUGAAAAAGCAAAGAAAGAAGAAAUUGGUUGAUGCUGGCCAAUUGUGUAUGUGCACACCAGUCUCUUUUUCUUUAUCCUUACUAUACCCUUGUGCAUCUUUGUAGACCUAGCGUUAUAGGUCUAUGUCAUUUUUAUAUACAUUAUGAAUGAUAUUGAUAAAAGCUUUAUAAAAAGCUAUAAAUGAAUACAACUUUCAACAACGGAUCUCUUGGCUCUCGCAUCGAUGAAGAACGCAGC